GCAUCAGUAGUAUAGCGGUAGAAUACUCGCCUUCCAAGCGAGUGGCCCGGGUUCAACUCCCGGCUGAUGC
Molecule: transfer RNA, 70 nt
Filed under: Rhizophagus clarus
Lineage: Eukaryota; Fungi; Glomeromycota; Glomeromycetes; Glomerales; Glomeraceae
Description: tRNA-Gly
Rfam family: tRNA
About the family: Transfer RNA (tRNA) molecules are approximately 80 nucleotides in length. Their secondary structure includes four short double-helical elements and three loops (D, anti-codon, and T loops). Further hydrogen bonds mediate the characteristic L-shaped molecular structure. tRNAs have two regions of fundamental functional importance: the anti-codon, which is responsible for specific mRNA codon recognition, and the 3' end, to which the tRNAs corresponding amino acid is attached (by aminoacyl-tRNA synthetases). tRNAs cope with the degeneracy of the genetic code in two manners: having more than one tRNA (with a specific anti-codon) for a particular amino acid; and 'wobble' base-pairing, i.e. permitting non-standard base-pairing at the 3rd anti-codon position.
Source: RNAcentral